GUGUUUUUCAGGUUUAAAUUUGAUGAUGAAAACCAAAGAAGAUAUGGAAAUUGUAUUAGAGGAGCGAUAUGGUGGGGAAGAGUUACCACAGACAAAUCCAGGAUUCAAUAAUACUCCUAGAUUUACCAAAUAUUAAAAUGCAUACACGAUGGUCUAUAUACAACAUCUUAGGGUUGCACGAGAUGAUGAUCUUGCAGAGCAGAUUGACAAGGAUAUAUAUUUUGAUCUAAUGGACCAUGAUAAAGUCAAUGUGUUUAAG
This is a long non-coding RNA of Hibiscus syriacus, 259 nucleotides long. RefSeq lists it as uncharacterized. The record is from RefSeq and is a predicted model, not a curated record. The transcript has 3 exons. Lineage: Eukaryota; Viridiplantae; Streptophyta; Magnoliopsida; Malvales; Malvaceae.